UGCGAGGAUGCGAAUCAAAAUGACAUAACGCAAGAACUUGCACAGAGAUGGGAAUUGAAAAAGCAAACAAGAAACCUAGAUAAUGUGUUCAAAGCCGGUUUGCACAUAUUGACAAUAAUUGAAAUGUCAUAUGCGAUUAAUCAUAACGCGGCGAAAUUAUGUUGAUAUCUCGAUAAAAUAAUUAUAGAUAAAUAACAUGAGAGUUGUUGAAUCCAUAAAUUAAAAUCGAUGCUUUGUCAAUAAAUAAAAGGGUAAACAUUAAAAAAUAAAGUAAUGAGUAUAUGAGAAAUUAAAUUAAAACAUAAACACGAGAAUUAACAAUAGGAAGUUAAAUGCUAAAGAAAAAAAAACAAAAUGCCACAAGUGGGAAUUGAACCCAACACUAAGAGGGAUUUGAGCUAAUUCCCCCUCCACCAAGCUACAAACUGCUCGCUGACUAAACCAAUAGAAACUAGAUACUAAAACGAAACCCUUCCAAGGAAAAAAAACAAAUCGAAAAGGCCAACCAUGGGCCGCUGGACUAUGUUAAACCCAAAUCCCACAAACUAGGUUCCAGGCUCGGGUCAGCAAGGACUCGUUUCACUGUUUACUGGCCCAAAUAUGGAAAUGCUUAGAGGGAGCCAAAGGGUCAAAACCCUAUCCGCAUGACUGCCUUGCUUCAACCAAGGAAGAUGCCAUAUUAAAUGAUUGGCCGACAAUAAUCAAUGAGAAGCACACAAAAACGAAAAGCCAAUGCAUUGGGUAGUGAAAUCUGGCACGGUUGCAAACGGAAGGGGAGUUUGACGUCCGAAAUCAAACAACGUGGGUUUCAUGAAGAUGAAUGCAAUGAAGUCCAAACCGGACUAAAAGAAAUCCCAAAACCAAAGCUAACACAAAUUCCUCUCCCUCUUCAUUUACGAUCAAGAAGAAAUUACUAACGAUCGUGAGCAAAUCGAGAACCACAAGCAUGAUUGCGGAAGGACAAAAACUCACCAGUUGCAACGAGAUUGACAGGACUGGAAAGAGUAGUGGAGAACGUCCGUACGGAAGCCGUUUGGAGCUUUUGUCCUCAUCCCCAGUUUGUGGUCCCUCCUUCAAUUCCUCUCCAUCUCUAAAACUUCACUGUUGCAGUCUUGGCACGAUUUUGGUCUUGGCGUGAUUUCCAGGUUAGCACCAACAAUGGACCUAGAGUAUGGCUUCUUGGUAAGGUCUUUCUUAUAUUGCUUUCCAAAUACCUUGAAGGCUUCAAUCGGUUGUGGAAAUACCCCUCACGUUUUAAGUUCAUAAAACAGGAACACCUGAGAAUCGCUGCGAAUAAAUCUGAUGCCUCUUCUUGUGUUUUUUAGCAACCACUGCACUCAAAGCUUCUUCAGCAAGUUGGAUUAUUACACUCAAACUAGCACUCGUCAAUCUUGUCCCAUUGCUUCCAUGAUCACUCUCAGCUGCACUUCCAUCCAAACCAUAUUUUGCAGUUGUGCCAUUACUUUCUGCUGGCUCUCCAAACGCAUUUUGCAUACAUUGCUGAUAAUCUUUGGUUGUGCUUUCAGCUAAGCGAUCAUGAACUGAUCAGAGAUCUACUGCCUCCUUGUGGAUGAUGUGGUUACAAUGAUGAAGUUGAUGUUGAGCAUGCUCGACUUGGAAUCCUUGUUCAAAGCCUCCUACCUGUCUUUUAACGCUUCCGGCGCAUUCUUCCUGGGUAGAAGUCUUCUUAUGAGAUGUAGAGACACUAUUAUUUUACACGACUUGGAGUUCAGAAGAAAUAAAAGAGCCAAUCCCUCUCGAAGACUCGGGUUUCUUGUCAAAAAUUUCAGGUUUGGUGCUAAGUUCGAUACUCAACAUAUAGAACACUGAUGAGAUAAGCAGUCCAGCUUCCAAGAAUUCCAUAGAAUAUUUGAAUCAAGAUUCCAGAUAGCAUACCAUGUUGAGAGAAAGAAUAUGGAAGUGUCAACAAAAUUUGAGCCACUUGAUUUGAAGCACAACUGAACCAUGCAUCCCAAACAGAACCACCAUGCCAGAGAAAAUUCUUGACACUAAAUGAAUGAUCUUGUUCUUGCUCUUCUUCCUUUCCAAGUACUGAUUCUUGUUGAUUUGGUUUUGAUAGUGACCAUUGUGAUUUGGUUUAAUUUUUGUAGGGCCACAGUUGUUGUUUGCUGUAGUGACCAUGUCGUUGGACUAACCAGUUGUACCAGCAUUUGCCAUCAAAUUUUGAUCAGAGGAACCACUGUUUGAACUAGAUUUUGGUCAACAGAGAGAAGCAGGUUUCCAGGAAGCUCUCUAGUAGGAUCAUCCUCAGGGUUUUCUUGCAACUUCAAGGUUUGUUCAUCAACAUACUUGCUCUUGUCAGGAACAAUAAGCCAUGGAUAUAUUGGACAAGGUUCUUCUCCGUGCUGAGGAACAUGAUCACAUGAACGAAGAACAACAGCUCCCCCAUUGGAUGAUACUGAAAUUUACGAGUUACAGGAGGUCUUCGAUUUCCCUGACCAGGAAAUACGUUACGUGGUGUGAGCGUAAGGGUUGGCUUCCCUUUGAGAAUUCUUGUUUUGAUCUACUCUGUUGGCACUUCCAUUUGUUGAGACUCUCCCACAGUAACAAAAUUAAGUGGAUACAAGUCCUCUUUAUUGGCCACGCUGCCUAUUUCUUCAGAGCCUAAUACCAUACAAACAGCAGAAGAAACCACUAUUUCUCCAGAUACUGAUAUGAUAGAAUAGUAAUAACUUGAUCUAGAAUGCUUUAUUAGUUCAGACGUCUGUGCCUUGGAGCACGAGAAUCUCCACUGUCCACCUCAGACAAUCUUGAAGCAUCAGCUCUCCUCCUAGAAGAGGUUACCAUGGAAUCAAUUUGUACAGCAGUGUCCACUUGACUCUCCGAAUUUAUGACAGCGGCAAUGCUUGAAAAGGAGUCUCUGUGAUCAACUGAAGUAGGUGGUUAUUCUUGGUUUCUUCCUAAUGGAUUGCUACGGAAAUAUGCCUCAACCAACCUUUUAGUAGAAGUCAAUGCUGAUGAAAGACUAGAAAGAGUUGCUCUAUGUGAUUGUGAUCUUUUUGUGGUGAUAUUGCAUUGUUCAGGACUUUUGUAUGAAAGUUAUGUUUGAAUUAUUGUAAACCUUGUUUGGGACUGCUAUGAAUUUCCUGCUAUAACUUGUUGUUGGUGCCAUAUUCGACUGACAUUGUUGCAUUGUGAACUGGUAGGUUUGGCAAUGGAAUGCUGCAGGCUUGGUUUCUUGGUGCGCCGACGGAUGUACAUUUGGAAGAAUCAGAUGUAGAAUUUUCAAGGACUUCCUGCUGUUCACAAGUUUCUUCAGUAGAUAUACUAUUCUUGAGUGUGCUAGAAACCAACACUUGGUCUUGUGAAGUCACUUCACAAUUCAACUAUGUGCCUAAUAUAGAAAUUUCAUCAAUUUGACUGGAUACUUCUUUCUUCCUGUAAAUUUGUCUUUUAAGUAAAGCAUCCACCUGGAUUGCAGCUUUCAA
Long non-coding RNA from Lathyrus oleraceus (garden pea), 3449 nucleotides. RefSeq lists it as uncharacterized. The record is from RefSeq and is a predicted model, not a curated record. The transcript is spliced from 6 exons. NCBI's taxonomy places the organism in Eukaryota, Viridiplantae, Streptophyta, Magnoliopsida, Fabales, Fabaceae.